AAGACUAUAGACCUGCGGAGUACCUGCGGAAGGAUCAUUACUGAGUGAGGGCCCUCUGGGUCCAACCUCCCACCCGUGUUUAUUGUACCUUGUUGCUUCGGUGGGCCCGCCGCAAGGCCGCCGGGGGCUUCCGCCCCGGGCCCGCGCCCACCGGAGACAAACUGAACUCUGUCUGAAUGUUGCAGUCUGAGUAAAAACUUAAUAAGUUAAAACUUUCAACAAUGGAUCUCUAGAUCGGAA
Molecule: unclassified non-coding RNA, 240 nt
Filed under: soil metagenome
Description: partial contains 5.8S ribosomal RNA, internal transcribed spacer 2, and large subunit ribosomal RNA
Source: RNAcentral